GACAGAGGGUGCAAACGUUGUUCGGAAUCACUGGGCGUAAAGCGCGUGUAGGCGGCAAUGCAAGUCGGAUGUGAAAUCCCGCGGCUCAACCGUGGAAGUGCACCCGAAACUGCAUAGCUAGAGUGUCGGAGAGGAAGGUGGAAUGCUUGGUGUAGAGGUGAAAUUCGUAGAUAUCAAGCGGAACACCGGUGGCGAAGGCGGCCUUCUGGACGACGACUGACGCUGAGACGCGAAAGCGUGGGUAGCAAACAGG
This 253-nucleotide ribosomal RNA is filed under the name uncultured bacterium. RNAcentral's name for it is "partial 16S ribosomal RNA". It matches the Rfam family "Bacterial small subunit ribosomal RNA", at positions 524 to 776 of the family's 1533-position model. The record is from RNAcentral.